UUAUUAGUCUCAGGUAUAAAACCGUUGUCGUUCUUUCAAUCUCAGCCUUCAAUUCUACAUCAUCCAAUUGCCUAAAUUUAUCCCUCUCACAAACUAAUUUUUUAAUGGCAAUUCAGUAAAUACUCCAAAGUUGAUCCACUGCUCAACCUAGCGCGGAGGGAUGCCGUAGACGUCCCAACCUCUUCUCUCUCUGUAAAUGUCCAAAGCAGAGCACUCUCUCGCGAAUUCAAAAAAAUUCCCCUCAAACCUCUUCUCUACAAGGCGUCUCAACCCAAAAUGGAGUGAGUAAGGUCAGCUCCGUAGCGAUCUCUAUUUUGAUUGUUCAUAAAUCGGGAUUCUUCUUUUAUGUGGGUUUGAUCUAGGGUUCGAUAAUGGCCUAUCCGGAGGGCUUGGAAAGAUUUCCCCUAUCUCCCGCGGCCCCGCUACAUUGAUGUCUCUGUGCUGCAACCGUUUCAACUGUCUCCGUGCUGCAACCGCUUCAACCCAUAACUCAGAUUGGUGGUAAUUUUUAUUUCGGCUUUGAAUUAUUUUGGUGUCCAUAGUGGAAAAAUCUUGGCUACUCCAAUUUUUGUUGUUUUUACAUUUAGUUUAACCUAAAAAAAAAAUAUUGUAUUCAAGUUAGGCUUUUGAUUGGAAAGCAAGGUUUUGGGUAUUUAUAUGGUGUUGACAAAUUAGUCAGAGUAGGGGACUUAGAGUUCGAGUUGCCUGAGCAACGCUAUAGUUUUUGCAGUUCUAUUUGUUCUCCGUUUCAGAUUUUCCCUAUCUCCCGCCCCGCUUCAACUGUCUCCGUGCUUGCAACCGCUUCAACUGUCUCCGUGCUGCAACCGCUUCAACUGUCUCCGUGCUUCAACCCAUAACUCAGAUUGGUGGUAAUUUUUAUUUCGGCUUUGAAUGAUUUCGGUGUCCAUAGUGGAAAAUUUUUGCCUACUCCAAUCUUUACUGUUUUUACAUUUAAAAAUAAUUUGUAUUCAAGUUAGGCUUUUGAUUGGAAAGCAUGGUUUUGGGUAUUUAUAUGGUGUUGACAAAUUAGUCAGAGUAGGGGACUUAGAGUUUGAGUUGCCUGAGCAACGCUAUAGUUUUUGCAGUUUUUUACCAUCUUCCUAAUGAGUGUACAGUAGUAUCAUGACAAUGACAGCCAACUGUAUAGUGGCAAAAUGAGUGACAAGAAAGACAUAACUCCGCCUACGGUAGAUUGGCGGAUAUUUGUUUUAUUUUCUUUAUAGCACGUAAAAGAAUCUGAACUUCCUGUUUUAGUAAGAGCUGACUGGGUAUGCCAAGAGAUUUAGCACCGCCAUUUUGUACAGUCACCCUCCAUCACUCGUGUUUGAAAUCUUUUUCUUUUGAUCCAAAACAUUUAAAAGACACUGAUUGUGUGGUGCCCUGAUUUUUUAUUGUGUGUAAAAGAUGGUGUAUCUGGAGAGCCAUUGAUGAUGUAUCUGGAUGCCUCUACAAGCUUGGUAAGGUAAUUUCAUUUGCUGUAGUCAUUUACUUUUGUAAACUCUCUCACCUUUUUUAGUAAAGUCUCUUACCUUUUUUGGGGAUCUUCAAGUAUAUAUGGCCUUAGAUAUCAAGGCUCAAAAUUUACCAUGUUAACACUUUUGCCCAACCAUAGAUAGGAAUAUUCAGGGGUGGUGUAAAAGGGGGCAGAAAGAACAAUGCCCGACUUCGAACAGUGUAAGUUUGGAGAUAAAAACAUCGUGGAAUGUGUAAGUUUGGAACAGUGUUAGGUGGUAAAUCUAAUGAAGAUGGAUAUUGACCCCAA
Molecule: long non-coding RNA, 1762 nt
Organism: Rhododendron vialii
Lineage: Eukaryota; Viridiplantae; Streptophyta; Magnoliopsida; Ericales; Ericaceae
Exons: 3
Source: RefSeq, a predicted model, not a curated record